CAUGCAUGUCUCAGUGCAAGCCGUAUUAAGGCGAUACCGCGAAUGGCUCAAUAUAUCAGUUUUGGUUCCUUAGAUCUUACUCAGUUACUUGGAUAACUGUGGUAAUUCUAGAGCUAAUACAUGCAAUCAGAACUCUGACCAGUGAUGGGAUGAGUGCUUUUAUUAGAUCAAAACCAAUCGGCGGAGGGCCUAGCGUCCGAAGUCGUUAAUUUUGAUGAAUCUGGAUAACUUUUGCCGAUCGCAUGGUCCAGUACCGGCGACGCAUCUUUCAAAUGUCUGCCUUAUCAACUUUCGAUGGUAGUUUCUGCGACUACCAUGGUUGUCACGGGUAACGGGGAAUCAGGGUUCGAUUCCGGAGAGGGAGCCUGAGAAACGGCUACCACAUCCAAGGAAGGCAGCAGGCGCGCAAAUUACCCACUCCCGGCACGGGGAGGUAGUGACGAAAAAUAACGAUACGGGACUCUUACGAGGCCUCGUAAUCGGAAUGAGUACACUUUAAAUAUUUUAACGAGGAACAAUUGGAGGGCAAGUCUGGUGCCAGCAGCCGCGGUAAUUCCAGCUCCAAUAGCGUAUACUAAAAUUGUUGCGGUUAAAAAGCUCGUAGUUGCAUUUGUGCGCCGCGCUGUCGGUGCACCGCAUCCGCGGUGAUACUGACACGUCUGCGGAGCAUAUCGUCGGUGAGCCGGCGGUAAAACGCCGGUUCAAUAUCAAAAUCCUAUCGCGGUGCUCUUCGGUGAGUGUCGAGGUGGGCCGACAAUUUUACUUUGAACAAAUUAGAGUGCUCAAAGCGGGCUCAAAAUGCCGCUUGAAUAUUUCGUGCAUGGAAUAAUAGAAUAUGAUCUCGGUUCUAUUUUGUUGGUUUUCAGAACUCCGAGGUAAUGAUUAAUAGGGAUAACUGGGGGCAUUCGUAUUGCGACGUUAGAGGUGAAAUUCUUGGAUCGUCGCAAGACGAACAUCAGCGAAAGCAUUUGCCAAAGGUGUUUUCAUCAAUCAAGAACGAAAGUUAGAGGGUU
This 1013-nucleotide ribosomal RNA is filed under the name Pieris rapae (cabbage white). RNAcentral's name for it is "SSU rRNA". It matches the Rfam family "Eukaryotic small subunit ribosomal RNA", at positions 50 to 999 of the family's 1831-position model. Lineage: Eukaryota; Metazoa; Arthropoda; Insecta; Lepidoptera; Pieridae. The record is from RNAcentral.